GACGAACGCUGGCGGCGUGCUUAACACAUGCAAGUCGAACGGUGACCCAGGGCUUGCCCUGGUGAUCAGUGGCGAACGGGUGAGUAACACGUGGGCAACCUGCCCCUGACUUCGGGAUAACUCCUCGAAAGAGGAGCUAAUACCGGAUACGACCACUUCGGACAUCCGAUGGUGGUGGAAAGUUUUCGGUCAGGGAUGGGCCCGCGGCCUAUCAGCUAGUUGGUGGGGUAAUGGCCUACCAAGGCGACGACGGGUAGCCGGCCUGAGAGGGCGACCGGCCACACUGGGACUGAGACACGGCCCAGACUCCUACGGGAGGCAGCAGUGGGGAAUAUUGCGCAAUGGGCGAAAGCCUGACGCAGCGACGCCGCGUGAGGGAUGAAGG
RNAcentral lists this ribosomal RNA (385 nucleotides) under uncultured bacterium. RNAcentral's name for it is "bacterial SSU rRNA". It matches the Rfam family "Bacterial small subunit ribosomal RNA", at positions 28 to 414 of the family's 1533-position model. The record is from RNAcentral.